This 338-nucleotide unclassified non-coding RNA is filed under the name soil metagenome. RNAcentral's name for it is "partial contains 5.8S ribosomal RNA, internal transcribed spacer 2, and large subunit ribosomal RNA". The stretch from base 1 to 120 matches the Rfam family "5.8S ribosomal RNA", at positions 35 to 154 of the family's 154-position model. The record is from RNAcentral.
GAUGAAGAACGCAGCGAAAUGCGAUAAGUAGUGUGAAUUGCAGAAUUCAGUGAAUCAUCGAAUCUUUGAACGCACAUUGCGCCCCUUGGUAUUCCAUGGGGCAUGCCUGUUCGAGCGUCAUCUACACCCUCAAGCUCUGCUUGGUGUUGGGCGUCCGUCCCGCCCCCGCGCGUGGACUCGCCCCAAAUCCAUUGGCAGCGUUCCUUGCCCCCUCUCGCGCAGCACAUUGCGCUUCUCGAGGGCGGCUCCGGGACGCGAUCCAGCAAGAUGACCACCGUCUUUGACCUCGGAUCAGGUAGGGAUACCCGCUGAACUUAAGCAUAUCAAUAAGCGGAGGA